This is an RNA transcript of Oncorhynchus nerka (sockeye salmon), 4074 nucleotides long. RefSeq lists it as uncharacterized. Lineage: Eukaryota; Metazoa; Chordata; Actinopteri; Salmoniformes; Salmonidae. The transcript has 4 exons. The record is from RefSeq and is a predicted model, not a curated record.
CUUUUGGGGCCCAUGCCCCCAUCCACCCCCCUGUUUUAUCUCCCUUAUGGUUGUUAUCUAUGAAGCAGGAAUGUCUGGGGCUAUAGAUAGCGCUGGGGCCUCAGCAUUAUAAAUGUCCAGAACAAGCCAUUUUUUAAGACCUGAAUAUUAAGCAUCUAAAAAUAUGUCUACAAGGGGAAUUCUUGGAGUGCUCUGUAGCUCAUGUCACGAACCCAACGCCAAAAGCUUGGAGGAUAUUUUGGUAGAGGCUCCCGAAUGUUUUAACGGAUUUCUGUGUACAAGCGAGGGCCAUAUUUCGUACAUAUUCAACCCGGAGGAAUCUACGGUUAAGAUAUUCACAGACAGCGUGUCCCAACCCUUUUAUCGUGCAGAACCCGAGCCUUUUUCUCUAGCGCUAAGGAUGCGAGAAUGGCUUAAAAUAAGGCUAGCUUUGUGUCAAAUGGAACGUGCCCUGAGUGCUUCAAGGCUGCCAGGAUAUGCGUUGGAAGAACAAGUCUGUGGACGUCAGGAUCUAAUGGCUCUGAGAGUCACAUCCAUGGGGUAUACCCCGGACUCCAGAGUGACAAUUUUAGCAUGUGAACAAUUUGACAGGUCAAAUGCUACGAAAACGGUCAGUCCAUAUGUAUCCUCCAAAGCAUGCAAGGAUGUAAAUUUUUUUCAAAUAAUGUUCAGUUUUAAAUGGCGCGAUUACCACAUAUUCCGAACCCUGAUGAAUAAGCUGGACAGUCUUUUCGAAAAUCGUGAACAAUUACGGCGAUGGCCUAGGUUAUCGUUGAGACAUACCCCGGAACAACAACAACAAGUUCGAAGGCGGAUCUUUCCCUGGCAGGAAAGUGGACAGAGCUUCGACGGAGCGUGGAAAAGACUUUGUGAUGGGGAAUUGGAAACGGAUAAUGUUCAGGGCUAACAGGACCCCAUAUAUCUGUAAGAAAUAGUUAAAAUAAAUGUUGAAUUAUAACGUGUGUUAAAAUGUAGGUGUUAAUUUUUGAAAAUGUAUACCCCCCCAUUUAACUAAGGGGUAGCGCUCUUUUCUCUCAAGCUAGGGUCUGGCGCAGACAACUGUAAGAUCUGAAAAAAAACAUGUAUUAUUUUAUAGUCUAUUCCUACAUUGGGUAUGUUAUGAACAUUACGUUUUAUUAAAGUUUGUAAUAAUGUACAAAGACCUGCAUCCAAGGUUUUUUUUUAUUUUUACAUAAAACACGUGUGCUGCAUGUUUAAAUAUUAUUCAAAUGGGUUACUUAAUUCAAACAUGUCUUAAAGGUUGUACGAAAUAUUUUGGAAUUCAAUAAAAGGAAUGUUUAAAAACGGUAUCUCACCCUUUAACUAUGGGAAAAACCUAUUUAACAACGUCUUCCAGCUCUGUCGCGAAGUAAAAUAGAAUCAGAGUGUUUGUGUGUGUGUGGGGAGGGGUCUUGAGGCGGAGCAACAGGCGUGUGUGUGUGUGUGUGUGUGUGUGUGUGUGUGUGUGUGUGUGUGUGUGUGUGUGUGUGUGUGUGUGUGUGGUUGGUUGUGUGUGUAACAUAAAUCCUAAGGUUGGGGGGUCCCAGAACUCUUAUCUGUAGAGAACCGUUUGAAACCAAGGUGUGCACUAUCAUGCAUAAGGCAUGUCGAGAUAUCAGCCGAACAGCGGGGGUUAAACAUAGAUAUCUCUAAUCUGCGGCCCCCACACACCCCGUUUGCAGACAGAAUGUCACGACAUCCCCUCCUGUUGUUUGAAUUCACAGCCUGUGUUCUCUAAACCAGACAUACAUGGGUUGGGGUGUAGCAUACAUCUCUCAAAAAAACUCAUUCCGAACUUUUAGAUAGUUAGGGACAGAACUAUUUUUUAACGUUGUCAGCAUUGCUUUAGCGCAAACAUAAAGGCCCGAAUAUUGAGCUGCACGGACAGAUUAAAAUAAUAACAAUAAUAUUCGGAAUAAGGGAAUCUCGCAUAAUGGAUAUUUCUGGAGGUGAGUAAAUGAAAAAAACAUAUUUUAAGAUUUGUUUGAAUAUUAUUGGAAUAUUAAACCCUAGUUAUUUGGGUAUUUCAGGCCAAAAGCCCAAUAUAGGUAAAAAAAAUUAAAAAAAAGUGUAGAUAUAGCGUAUAACUGUUAACAUUGUCUAAUGGAAUCUAGGAUCCCCGACAUUUACGCAGCUUUUACACGAUUUACCUGAUCUGGAACAUGAUGGGGGUUCGCAGGAGCAAAAGUCUGGCAGACAAUCACCAACGGCCUUUUUUCGUUCCGACAUACAGCCCUUUAUGAUAAAGGAUGCGUUAUGGACAGCUGACACGCAGGACUUUGAUGCAAUUCUACCGUUCUGUACGAGCGCUUUUUCAAACUCACAGCGAAUCCAGGGAACAUCGACCCCCUCCCGACAUAUUCCAGACCCCAACAGGCAACGAUCAACUGUGGCCCAAGUACACUGCUCAUAAUCAAGCCCACCCGAAAACUACUGUUGGGCCGGGAACUUGCUGCUUCACGAGCCGGCGCUCCAGGGACAAGACUGCCCGGAGACAGACCCAGCAGAAUCUGGAACGCUAGAGGGAAAAAGUCACACACCCCCGGUUUCGGCGAUUCGUCACAACAAGCGCCAAAAAAGCCGAAACUCCGCACCGGCGAAAAACGGCACAGACGACCACAUAAAUCUAGAGCUGGGGGAUUCCGGCGCCCCGAGCAUUCCGAAUGAAACACCCAAGAGACCUGUUUUUAAUGACAUGUCAGAUGUUGAUGACCAGCUAUUCUGUGAUGCGGCCAACCUCAUAGACCCAGUCAAUUCUACGGCCUCAAUACCUGCAGCCGAACAAGAAAGGUUUUUCACAUUAUUUUCCAGGGCUUUGAAAUCGAGGAAUGUUUUGCUAUACAAACGACUGGGGGAUUUAAUUGAGAGACAGUACAGAGACGAUAUGUUAUUCUGGCAUAGAACAAUUCCACGCAUGUUAAACAGCAACCCCAUUAAAAAACGCAAAUACAGACGCUAAAAUCAUACAUGUAACACCAACCAUUACAGAAAGAAAAAAAAAACGAACACUCUUAAUUAUCCAAAAAUGGCAGAACUAACGCAACAUGGGGAGACAGUUGAAAGCCUCUUAUCCCAGAUUCCAGACGAACUCCUAGAAGUUAUAAGACGUAUGAACGAUUCAGGAACGUUAGAUGAAAGCAUAUUAACACAGAUUCCAGCCGAACUCUUAGAAAUGAUUAAUCGUAUGAACCAGUCAGGGGGGGUUGAGGAAAACAUGUUAUCCCAGAUUCCCGAAGCCCUCAUAACCUUAAUUAAUCGUAUGAACGCGAGUCAGACAAUUUCGGCCCCGACAACCCCGACAGCGAUAGAACACCCGUAACGCCUAGGUCCGUAGAGUCUGAAACGCCACAAGAUGUUUUUGGGGAAUUGGACAAUUAUCUAAUAAAUCUGGCUGCAGAUGUUCAUGAUAGACGUGUCAGGGUUGUGUACAGGAAUAAAUUCAACAAUACAGAGAUUCGACAGUUUUUCAAUUUCCUAUGUGUGAAUCAGAAUCUUGACUAUGCUGUAUUUUACAUGAUGAUAAUGGACACUCUGAAUGACCUGUUAGAAACAGCAAGAGAUUAUGGCGAACCUCGUGAUGUCUUACAGUUGGAAAUAUGUGGAGAUAGCCUGCAUAAUUCAGUAUCUCUUAUUUUACCCAAUGGCGAAGCAGAUCUUGAACAAUUUACAGCGCUGGUAGAACGCCUUGUUCAGUCAAAUUUAGCCAUCAUAGCCGAUCGAACCCUAGAGCUUGUAGUGCAAAUAAUACGUCAACCACAGGGGGGCGGUGGGCAGAGAAGGAAGCUUGAUAGCCUAAUGCAGUCAGAAAUCAUAAGCAAUAAAAGGGCCUACCUCAUAAACGUUCACAAUCCCGAUAAUAAGCUAUGUUUUGCAAUAGGCCUAGCGCAUUUACUUAACCCCGGAUGUACUGAUCUGACGGCAUUGCAAAAGGCUAGAGAGAUCCAAACGGCGGUGGGUCUCGGGAUCCAUGAAGGCGUGGCAUUCUCAGACAUUGUCAAAUUUGAAAACCUUCUGAAUAUCAAGAUUGUGGUUUUGUACCACAGUAGAGCUAAUGCAGCUCUCUUGAAGUUCCAA